AGCUCUGGGUUUUUUUUUGCAGAUUUUCAAAUAAAACUCAGAGAUUCCUUGUAUGACUCUCUCAGGUCUCUCUUUUGUGGUAUUUUUGGAUCCUUACCAAGGCAGUGAUGGUAUAUGCCUUCUCUCAAGAUAUGUGGUAUUUAUGGUAUAAAGCAUAAUGACAUUGCCUUCUCUCUCACCCUACUCUAAUAAGGCUUUUAUAUCUGGAGCUCAUAGGUGGGAGAUAAAGUAUACAUACUUACAAGACAUUUAUUGCAUAGUCAAACCAUGGAUCCAAAGAAACAAAUCAAUAAGCCAAAUCAAGAUGUGCAUUUGUGGCGAAUGAAUGGUGUAUGGUGAUAAUAAUGGUGAAGGCAAUGGUGGUGGAAGUCUAAUUCUACUUUGCUCUUUGAGGGGAUACAUACCCUUCUUGCUUUUGAAACUUUAUGAGGAGAAUAAGAUGCUCUUCUUUUUCUUGUCUCUCAGGUGGGCAUCUUGUACCCCUAAUUCUACUGUCGGACACUUGUCCAUUUUUACCUCUCGUCUCACUUUUUCUUUUCUUUCGAGGUUCCGAGCACUUGCUCCUUUUUAUUUCCUCGUAUCUCCUUUUUUUUCUCCUUUUUUUCAGAGCAUUCAUCUCUUGAGAUAAUAUAGCAAGUGGUAGUAACAAGAUAACUUGAGCAUUUAUUUCACAAGAGAAAAACAAAAAUAUUUUUAGUUAUUCUCUCCCGGAUUAGGAGUAGAAUAGUUUUGGGUGAUUCUGGAGAUGGAAUGGGUGGAUAUAUGUGGAUGGUACUUCCGGAGUAGAAGUAGCAUAUGUGAGUGAACGUGCAAGUGAAAUCUUGAUUUAACCACAUGACAAGCUCCUAAGGGUCUACACACCACACUCAAUGCUCAUAAGCAGUAAAUAGUAAAUGUGUGGCUCAAAGUCUAGCAAGCAUGUAUAUAUGGCUGUGGUAGGAAUUUAAACUCUCAUCAUACAGGAACUCAUCAUGCAAUAUUUUAAAGAUUUUCAAAGAUAAAAUUCUUCAGAACUCUAGCAUCUCUAGGAACAGAUAAACAGCAGCUCAACCUUCCCAUAUCGUAUCCGUUAACAACUUAGACUUCAGAUCAAGUUUUUAUCCCACAAGUUUAGGUCUAGAGCAAGCUUUAAAUUAUAACAGUUAUAUCUAUAAACUUGAGAGAGAACUUAAAAUUUGCAAAUUAGGCAGAGCAACUAUUUAUCAUAUCCAUGCUUAUGUUUUAUUUAGAUACAGAUUAGCAUAGCCACUUUAUUUAUUUAUUAAACACACUAAGCAAAAGACAUAUAUAUAUAUAAGCAUAAAAUCUUUAUUUGGUUUUUCCUAGUUCUUGUAUUUUAAUAUUCUAAUAUAGUAUAAGUAUAAAGAUAGAUAGAAAUACUUAUCGGGAAAAAUGGGGGUGCUCUCCCCCAAGCUGAAUUUUGACGUAAUUUCUCUUGACGUAGCUAGCAGGUGGCAGAGGUGUAUUUGAAAGUCAGCAGCAUUCUGACAGCGAUUACAAUGUCCUCCGUCUGCUAGUCUUCUUGAUUCUUAAAUUCUGUGGAGCUCAAAUAGACAACAUAGCUUGUGGAACUGAUUAAGUGUUAGCAUAAAUAUCUAGCCUUUAUCAUGUUGAGACUCCUUAAUAAAUAUUACUCCCUGUUUUUAUAUUUUUAUUUUUUAUAGAGCAGAAUUAUUUAUUUUUAUGCCACCACAGUGAAUGUACUUAUAGGUUUUAUGCCACUCGUCUACUCACAUGGGGCUUACAGUUUUUUCAUAUUUUUAUUUUCUUUUUAGGAUAAUACGAACAUGAUUAACUAAGUAAACUCUUUGAAAUAAUUGAAAGGGAAAGGAUAACUACCAAGUUUACCUCUUGGCAGGGCGUUCGGUGUUUUUAAGUCCUCCGAACGGGACUCUCCAAUUUCUUAAUCGUCCUGAGGUUCGUUGGGUGGCAAAGUCGGUACUUCCGGCAGCGCCUCCUCUUCUUGUAUAGUUAUCUUCAUUUUCCAUACCUGACUCGGUGCUUCAAUCUCCUCUGGAUAAUUCUGUUUAAACUCAAUGUCUUCUGAUCUUACAACUUCUCCUUCAUAGUCUGCCCAUCCGUCCUUGAUGAUCUGCCUCCUCUAGUUGUGGUUGCGUCGUUUUCUUACCUGCUUAGAUUCUUCAAUGAUAUAGUUAGGGUCAGUAAAAUAACGGCGUACCUUCUCUGAGGGGAAGUGCAUAUGGACUUCUCCGGUUCCAAUGUAGAUAAUUGCUUUAACGGUGCUGAGGAACGGUCUUCCAAGGAUGAUGGGUGGAUCAUACUCGUCUUCUCUAUGUCAAUAACUUGAAAGUCUGUGUAGACAAAGUGAUCGUCUAUUUUGACUGGGACAUCAGAUACUAUUCCUUUAACUUCUCGAAAUGUCUGAUCUGCCAUCUGGAGCUGAAUGUAUGUUGGUCUUAGUGGCAUGGUCCCGAACAAGAGCCGAUAGGUGACUGCGGCCAUUAUGUUGACGCCUGAUCCGGUGUCGCAAAUCGUCUUUGUAGAAGUUGUAUCCAUUUAUGGAGCAGUAGAUGCUUGGCAUUCCUGGGUCGUCCUUCUUGGUCAAAAACGGUGACUUAAGUUGAUGAUCUUGGCCUCCAUGGACUACAGUGACCAUCUUAGCUGACUCGGUCCACACUUGCUUGUUCCUGUUUCUCCUGUUGGUCCUCUUCCUUGAUUCACGUCUGGAUUGAUCUGGAAUUUGUGUAGUCUUGUUCUUGAAGAAAAUGUCUCCUUCUUCCCUUUGACGUAGAAACUGAUCUUGGCAGCACUGGCAUAGAUGAUAGCUCCCGUGGUGUUCAAGAAUGGCCUUCCUAGGAUGAUAGGUGCUCUCUCAUCAUUUCCGGUCUCUACCACUACGAAGUCUGCUGGGGCGUACAAGGUACCAACUCGGACACAAAGGUUCCUCACUAUUCCUUUUGGAAAAGUUAUCGUCUGAUCUGCAAACUGCAAACACAUGGUUGUCUCUAAUAAAGGAUAUGUAAAGAAUUUCUCAUAGAGUACCCUAGGUAUAAUGUUGACGCUAGAGCCAAAGUCACAGAGUGCUUCUGGAACGUCCACCAUGCCAAUGGAGAUCGGGAUGACGGGGCAUCCUGGAUCGCCUCUCUUGACCGGCAGAAGGUCAGUAGAGAAUUCAUUGACGGGGUUACUCCAAUUACCUGCAUCAAACAUGUCUACAAGAUUUGCAGAUUCUAAUCCUUCCGGUUGUGAUGGUAUACCGGGGUUAGUAGUAGGAACAGCAGCAGCUAUUUGAUUUAACUGGGAUUCAAUCAUUUUAUUAAAGCUAAUUUGAUUCUUGAUGGCAGUAGAAAAAUUAUCCAUUCUAUUAUUUAUAUUUUCUAGCAUUUUAUCAUUAGAUGCCAAUUUCUUAGAUAGGUUAUCCAUUAGCUUUCCUUGAUUAGACACUAACUCUCUUAAAGGUGGAAAAUUAUUAUUAUUGUUGUAAGAAUUGUUACCUUGAUAAUUACCUGAGUAGUUGGGCCUCUGUUGAUUCCAACCUUGAUUUUGUUGAGGACGGUUGUAGUAGUAGUUGUUGUUGUUGAUGUAGUUCACAUCCUCAAGCAUCUCAGGGCAGUGGUUGCCUGAGUGUCCAGUGUCUCCACACUCCUCACAAGUCAUGUGAGAGUCGUAGAUGUGCAUAACUUCUUUCUUGUCUCCAGCUCUAUCAUCGAGCUUCUUCAUGAGCAGGUCUAGCUUUGCAGACAGCAUGUCUACCUCCUUCAGCUGAUGCAUACCUCCACCUCUCUUGCGUGUCUGGGUCCUCUCUUCAUUCCAGCUUUGAUUGGACGCCAUCUUCUCCACAAGAGCUGUGGCUUGUGGUAUAGUAAGUGAUAAGAAUGCUCCUCCAGCUGCAGCAUCCAUAGUCUCUCGGGCACUGUUGCUUAGCCCAUGAUAGAAUGUCUGCAUCAAUAGCCAACUCUCCAUUCCAUGAUGGGGACAUUCUAGGAUGUAGUCUUGAAAGCGCUCUCAUGCUUCUGGAACAGAUUCAUCAUUUUGUUACUGAAAACUUGUAAUCUUCCCACGGAGAGCAUUGGUCUUGCCCAUGGGAAAGAACUUAGCCAGGAAGUUUGUUGAGCAGAGUGCCCACGUAGUAUUCUUCUCCUUUGUAGCGUAGAACCACUGCUUCGCUCUUCCUAGCAGUGAGAAUGGGAAGAGGCGAAGUAGUAUAGCAUCUUUGGAAACUCCUGCUAUGGUGAAUGUGUUGCAAAUCUCCAGGAAGUGUUGUAAAUGAGCACUAGCAUCUUCGUGUGCCUUCCCACAGAACUGGUUGGAUUGCACCAUGUUGAUAAGUCCAGGCUUGAGCUCAAAGUUGCCGUCGAUUUCUGCAGCAGGUCCAGUGCGGAUGUUGUCCGUAGUGGGAGCUGAGAACUCGCGGAUUGAUUUGUUCGCCAUGGCUUCGAACUCUGAAGACAAGUUUCGGUGAUCUUCUUGAUUGGAUGAAGCUUCUUCGUGAAGUGUUGAUGAUCUCUUCUUGAGCUUGGCCCUCAUCUUCUUGAAUAAUGCUUCGGGAUUGUGAACAAAAUUUCUUGGAAGAUGUCUUCUAUUCAUACAUUCCCCUGCAUAAGAUAAAAUAGAAAAAUAUCGGGGUAAAACUGUAUGAGAGAAUAGAUAAGCUCAAUCAUAUUAGUGAUGCGAAUGAUAACUCAGAAUCUUUUAUUCCAUUCCUGAUUGGUAAUCAACCUUCCCCGGCAACGGCGCCAAAAAUGCUUGUUGGGUAUUCUUAACAUCAUUACCAAAAGUAGACUAAGUUCUCUAAAUCUAGUAACGGUGCCAAAAAUGCCAAACCUAUCCCUCACACCACUUAAGCCAAGUUGUCAUCCCCAGCAUGAUAUAAGAGACGCGGUAUUGAAAUAUGCAAUUGCUCUUCUAAAUAAAUAAUGAAUGGGAUCUGCAAGCGCACAGAUUAAUACCGAUGCAGCAUUUUAACCGGAAAGUAUUCUAGAUAUCGUUAUUUAUAUUUUUACCACUAGGAAGGGAUUAGCGAUCAUCACUAUUGAUUACAGAAUAGAAUAUGAGAUUGAGCAUCUAUCAUUGCAUGUAUAAUUGAGAACAUUAUAUCUAACUCUUCAUACAGGGAUAAGUGUCACAUAAAAGAUAUAUGAAAUAAUAAUAGUGACAAGGAUAACUAAUCUGAUCUAGCCACAUAAUAAAUAUGAUAAGCACCUCAAUUAGAUACUCUAGAAAGUCAUUAGCAUGGUAUUAGAACGAACUACAAGAAUAUUCCCUAAGUUAUUCUUAACUAUAUAGUCUAGCAUAUCAUAGUUAGUGCAAGCAUACUUAGCAAUCAUUGCGAGACAAGACUACGCCCAUGCAUAGUGAUAUUAGCAAGGAAUAUGAGAAACAUAGCAAUCACUCCCCUGUAAUAAUGUUGCUCUGCCAGCCCAAUACACGAGAGGGGGACUAUAUAAGAAUCAAUGAAGCUGUCACUAUCACGAACCACCCCACGAUCUGGCAUAUUGGGUACAAUCGCAGAUAAAUACGGUAUAAGCACCACGCCUACACAAUAUCUAUCAUUUACCCAUGGAUCCGAUGGAUAAACGCUAUACGAUCCUAAGCAUGUAUAUAGAUCGAAUCUAACUAAGCCAAGUACAUAACUAUGAUAAACUAAGAACAAUAUAAUCUUGAAUAUAAGCAAGUAGAGCAAAGUCAUAAGCAAUAUAUUGAAGUAGAACAAAGUCAUAUUCAUAAUAUUGAAGAACAAAGAUAAUUAUAAAGCAAUUAGAAGCACAAUUAGAGAAUUACCAAGAAUCCUCCUGACAGAUCCGGAAACCAAUCGAAGAUUGACUCCUUCUAGUUCUAAUCCUAUGUAGCUAUGCUAAUCUAGAUGUCUAAUUGAUGUGGUGGCUCUAAUCAUGAUCAGAGGCUUCUUCUCCCUUGAUGGAACAAUGAAUUAGGGUUGAGAGGCUCUCUCCUCCAGGGGCCAGGGGGUCUGGUUUUAUAGUCCCUUCAAGUGAAUAUGGGCCAUUGGAUCAAACCGACAUAGAUUGUAUGGUUUAGAUUCAUCCUUUAGGUCGGUGGAGAUCUCUGUUGGGUAUUUUAAACGCAAACAGAAAAAAUCCGCAAGCGCACGGAUACCGAUGUAGCCUUCACCCGGGAGUAUUCCAGAGUAUCGAUUUUCCACAGGGAACGUGAGUGUACUAAUUAAGAUCCAAGAUCGCCCAAGGAUAACUAUAUGAAUAUUUUUGGUGGGAAGAGAGGAAGUUUCCUGAUAGUUCUCUAGUUGAUCUAAGAAUCAAGAUUUACUUCAAGAUUAUCUAUAUCGGGACAUCAGAGCACUAACCACGAAAAGAGAUGAGAAGGGGGCUAGGAAGGUCUGACUACGGUCCUACAAACACCGAUCCGAACGUGGUGGAAUACGUCGACCGUUAGGGCUGUCACUACCCUAAGGCUACCACAACAAUCCGCAGGAUUGGGUGCAAUUCCAGGUAAUCGCAAGACUAAACACCACGUCUAAUCUAUUAAUUACUACUCUAAUGUUUCAAAGAUUAGAGCACUUGAUGCAAGCGGGAAUCCAAUAAAUAACUUGAAUGUAAAUAAAAGUAAUUAGAGAACUCAGGAGUUAUGAGUUGAAGAACCUGGAGAACGAUGAAGAACGAACCAGAUGCUGCAAAAGUACAAUGUUGAGGAAGAUCCGACAGAUCCGGCUCCUCCUCCGCUCUCCUCUUCUCUCUCCCUAUUUUCUAGAUUACAACUAGAACUAACUAGAACUAGAACUAGAGGAACUAGAACUAGAACUAGAUGAACUAGAACUAGAUCUAAAUGAACUAGAGGUAGAACUAGAAGAACUAAAGGGAUCCUCUCUACUUGGAUGAAGAAUUGAAACCCUAGCUUUGAUUCUGUAGAAGAGGUAUGAUCUGCAGGGGCCAGGGGGGUCUGGUUUUAUAGUCCCUUCAAGUGAAUCUGGGCCGUCGGAUCAAACCGACAUUGAUCGCACGGUUUUCCUUGAUCCUUUAGGUCGGUGGAGCAUAAUCCGCGAAACGUGUCCUGAUCGGGCACUGUAGCUGGGCGGGCGCCCAGGAGAGUUGGGCGGGCGCCCUGCCUCCGAGCCCGAUUUCCUUCCCGUUCGUUCCCGUGGCUUCUGGAGUCUUCUAGAUGAUAGAAAAUUGUGCGGCACGUUAAUAUCUCUAUGUAAACCCGACGUGUGGGCCUUUCUUCCGUAUUUCUUGAUAACCCCCUGCAGAAAUAGACAAACACCAAAACUCGUGGAAUUCUGUCAGAUAAAACCCUAAGUCUAGGUGUUGGUUGCAUUUGGAUCCUUUUCCAUGAUUAGUUGAUGGUUAAAUAUGAGCAUUAAGGACCGUCAACAAGCUCCCCCAAGCUUAACCUUUGCUCGUCCCUGAGCAAAGAUGGAGUCAAAAGUUUCUGUAGUGGUUUUAUGCCUUAAAGAUAGAUAUGCGUUCAAACAAGAUCUCAUCUCUGGGUUAGGGUAAACUGUUAAGAUUUAAACUUACUCAUAUUACCUUCCACCAUGGGGCUUGCAACCGUCACUUGUGUCUUGAGCAGUUAAAAGAUAGAACGGUCUAGUCAAGCGCCAUGUCUUUUGUUCUUCGAUUGACUAUAGCUUUAGAGUUUUUGCAGAUUUUCAAAUAAAACUCAGAGAUUCCUUGUAUGACUCUCUCUAGUCUCUCUUUUGUGGUAUUUUUGGAUCCUUACCAAGGCAGUAAUGGUAUAUGCCUUCUCUCAAAGUAUGUAGUAUUUUUGGUAUGGGGCAUAGUGGCAUUGCCUUCUCUCUCACCCUACUCUAAUAAGGUUUUGAUAUCUGGAGCUCAUAGGUGGGAGACAGCUAAUACAUACUUACAAAACAUUUAUUGCAUAGUCAAACCAUGGAUCCAGAAGAACAAGUCAAUAAGUCAAAUCAAGAUAUGCAUGUGUGGCGAAUGAAUGGUGUAUGGUGAUGAUUGUGAUAAUGGUGAAAGUCUAAUUCUACUUAUGCUCUUUUGAGGGGAUACAUACCUUUCUUGCUCUUUUGAAACUUUUUGAGAAGAAUGAGAUGCUCUAUAUUUUCUUUUUCUUUUCUCUCAGGUGGGUAUCUUGUACCCCUAAUUCUACUGUCGGACACUUGUCCAUUUUUACCUCUCGUCUCACUUUUUCUUUUCUUCGAGGUUCCGGGCACUUGCCCCUUUUUAUUUCCUCAUAUUCUUUUUUUUCUUUCUUCUUUUUUUUUUCUUUUUUUUAUCUUCUUUUUUUUAGAGCACUCAUCUCAUGCGAUAAUAUAGCAAGUGGUAGUAACAAGAUAACUUGAGCAUUUAUUUCACAAGGGAAAACAGAAAUGUUUUUGCCUAUUCUCUCCCUGAUUAGGAGUAGAAUAUUUUUAGGUGGUUCUGGAGAUGGAAAUGGAUGGAUAUAUGUGGAUGCGUACUUCCGGAGUAGAAGCAGCAUGUAUGAGUGAACG
RNAcentral lists this long non-coding RNA (8392 nucleotides) under Sorghum bicolor (sorghum). RNAcentral describes it as "long non-coding RNA (SBIC_LNC005006)". The stretch from base 3923 to 4029 matches the Rfam family "Plant small nucleolar RNA R71". The record is from RNAcentral. Lineage: Eukaryota; Viridiplantae; Streptophyta; Magnoliopsida; Poales; Poaceae.